GGCCAGAUCAUGUUGAAACACUGGUUUCUGUAUGAUCUUCACAGUUAAGUAAUGUUGAGCAUGGUGAGUACCUAGAUGGGUGACCACUUGGAAAUACCUGGUGCUGUA
Non-coding RNA from Acanthosepion pharaonis, 108 nucleotides. The record is from the annotation of a GenBank genome assembly. Lineage: Eukaryota; Metazoa; Mollusca; Cephalopoda; Sepiida; Sepiidae.